AAAAAAGGUAAUUACUCAUCCUAUCCCAAAUGAGGCUCACUGACUCCAUGGGAAACCUGCCCCGGGAACACACCCUAUUGGAAAGGUCAACACCACCAGAAGAAAACUGCGGGCCGAUCGGGAGUGUACUCUGACAUUCAACCGAGGACUGACAGGUCUCCAGAAAAAGGCCGGCCACCUUUGCUGACUGCUGAAUUCCCAGCUCAAGCUUGCUCUCCAAAUUCCAUGACGAGCGGAAAUCUCCACCUCCCCCAAGUGCCUUCCUGCUGUUCUGCGCAGUUACCUAUGAAAGCAAUGACGACUUUUAAAGCAACGUUCCCUGCGUAACUUGUACCGUUUCUGAUCGUGUUUGGCCCAUGGUGGUUGGCUGUAAGCAAACUGCACCGAAUCCCAUGAAAGAGCAAUAUGAACAUACCCCCAGACCACUGGGGACUCGGAGACGGGAGUGGUUUUUGUAUCAAUGGAGACAAGUAAAGGCUGCAGCUGUCCCUGCUGUAACCCGAGCUCCAGCUGCUCACAUCUCUCCGUUGUCUCUGGACUUUCUCACUUCAGGGUGUGAUGUGGGCACCCGGCCUCUGAGUCCCUGUGGGACCAGCCACUGA
RNAcentral lists this long non-coding RNA (602 nucleotides) under Ursus maritimus (polar bear). Its description in RNAcentral is "lncRNA (ENSUMAG00000014656.1)". The record is from RNAcentral. Lineage: Eukaryota; Metazoa; Chordata; Mammalia; Carnivora; Ursidae.